This 548-nucleotide ribosomal RNA is filed under the name uncultured bacterium. RNAcentral describes it as "partial 16S ribosomal RNA". It matches the Rfam family "Bacterial small subunit ribosomal RNA", at positions 355 to 895 of the family's 1533-position model. The record is from RNAcentral.
UGGGGAAUUUUGGACAAUGGGCGAAAGCCUGAUCCAGCAAUGCCGCGUGUGUGAAGAAGGCCUUCGGGUUGUAAAGCACUUUUGUCCGGAAAGAAAUCCUUGGCUCUAAUACAGUCGGGGGAUGACGGUACCGGAAGAAUAAGCACCGGCUAACUACGUGCCAGCAGCCGCGGUAAUACGUAGGGUGCAAGCGUUAAUCGGAAUUACUGGGCGUAAAGCGUGCGCAGGCGGUUUGCUAAGACCGAUGUGAAAUCCCCGGGCUCAACCUGGGGAACUGCAUUGGUGACUGGCAGGCUAGAGUACGGCAGAGGGGGGUAGAAUUCCACGUGUAGCAGUGAAAUGCGUAGAGAUGUGGAGGAAUGCCGAUGGCGAAGGCAGCCCCCUGGGCCAAUACUGACGCUCAUGCACGAAAGCGUGGGGAGCAAACAGGAUUAGAUACCCUGGUAGUCCACGCCCUAAACGAUGUCAACUAGUUGUUGGGGAUUCAUUUCCUUAGUAACGUAGCUAACGCGUGAAGUUGACCGCCUGGGGAGUACGGUCGCAAGAUU